CAAUGAAUAGCUCAAGGGUAGAGCACGGAACUUAGGAUUCCGCAGUUGCAGGUUCGAAUCCUGCUUCAUGA
RNAcentral lists this transfer RNA (71 nucleotides) under Bryobacterales bacterium. RNAcentral's name for it is "tRNA-Leu". It matches the Rfam family "tRNA". From Rfam's summary of the family: Transfer RNA (tRNA) molecules are approximately 80 nucleotides in length. Their secondary structure includes four short double-helical elements and three loops (D, anti-codon, and T loops). Further hydrogen bonds mediate the characteristic L-shaped molecular structure. tRNAs have two regions of fundamental functional importance: the anti-codon, which is responsible for specific mRNA codon recognition, and the 3' end, to which the tRNAs corresponding amino acid is attached (by aminoacyl-tRNA synthetases). tRNAs cope with the degeneracy of the genetic code in two manners: having more than one tRNA (with a specific anti-codon) for a particular amino acid; and 'wobble' base-pairing, i.e. permitting non-standard base-pairing at the 3rd anti-codon position. Lineage: Bacteria; Pseudomonadati; Acidobacteriota; Terriglobia; Bryobacterales. The record is from RNAcentral.